GCGAGUAGGAAAGGCUUACGGCGCUCUGGGAGGGGCUUGCGGCCCAUCAGCUAGUUGGUAGAGUAAAGGCCUACCAAGGCAAAGACGGGUAGGGGGUGUGAGAGCAUGGCCCCCCAAAAUGGGACUGAAACACGGCCCAUACUCCUACGGGAGGCAUCCGCAGGGAAUAUUGCACAAUAGGCGAAAGCCUGAUGCAGCGACGCCGCGUGAGUGAAGAAGGCCUUCGGGACGAAAAGCUCUUUUGUAGGACAAGAGUACGGACGGUACCCUGAGAAAAAGCGUCGGCUAACUACGUGCCAGCAGCCGCGGUAAGACGUAGGACGCGAGCGUUAUCCGGAAUUACUGGGCGUAAAGGGCCGGUAGGUGGCUUGGUAAGUUGUGCGUGAAAGCCUCGUGCUCAACGCGAGGAGGCCGGACAAUACUGUCAAGCUAGAGGGCAUCAGAGGGGAGUGGAAUUCCCGGAGUAGCGGUAAAAUGCGCAGAUAUCGGUAGGAACACCAAUGGCGAAGGCAGCUCCCUGGGAUGUACCUGACACUGAGGGGCGAAAGCUAGGGGAGCGAACAGGAUUAGAGACCCUGGUAGUCCUAGCUGUAAACGCUGGGUGCUAGGUGUGGGGCGUAGAAGUUCCGUGCCGGAGCAAACGCGAUAAGCAUCCCGCCUGGGAAUUACGGUCGCAAGGCUAAAACUCAAACGAAUUGACGGGGCCCCGCACAAGCAGCGGAGCGUGUGGUUCAAUUCGAUGCUACACGAAGAACCUUACCUGGGUUUGACAUGUACGUGGUACGGCGGCGAAAUCCAAAGGACCCUUCGGGGAGCGUACACAGGUGCUGCAUGGCUGUCGUCAGCUCGUGCCGUGAGGUGUCGGGUUAAGUCCCGUAACGAGCGCAACCCUUGCCCUUAGCUACAAGUGUCUAGAGGGACUCCCGCCGCGAACCCUCAGGAAGGUGGGGA
Molecule: ribosomal RNA, 951 nt
Filed under: uncultured organism
Description: bacterial SSU rRNA
Rfam family: Bacterial small subunit ribosomal RNA
Source: RNAcentral